This 498-nucleotide ribosomal RNA is filed under the name Blennothrix majus RU2007. RNAcentral describes it as "bacterial SSU rRNA". It matches the Rfam family "Bacterial small subunit ribosomal RNA", at positions 210 to 722 of the family's 1533-position model. Lineage: Bacteria; Bacillati; Cyanobacteriota; Cyanophyceae; Oscillatoriales; Microcoleaceae. The record is from RNAcentral.
UUUUUUCGCCUGAAGAUGAGCUCGCGUCUGAUUAGCUAGUUGGUGUGGUAAAAGCGUACCAAGGCAACGAUCGGUAGCUGGUCUGAGAGGAUGAGCAGCCACACUGGGACUGAGACACGGCCCAGACUCCUACGGGAGGCAGCAGUGGGGAAUUUUCCGCAAUGGGCGAAAGCCUGACGGAGCAAGACCGCGUGGGGGAGGAAUGCCCUAGGGUUGUAAACCCCUUUUCUUUGGGAAGAACGAACUGACGGUACCAAAGGAAUAAGCCUCGGCUAACUCCGUGCCAGCAGCCGCGGUAAUACGGAGGAGGCAAGCGUUAUCCGGAAUGAUUGGGCGUAAAGCGUCCGCAGGUGGCAAUUCAAGUCUGCUGUCAAAGUCCGGGGCUCAACUCUGGUCAGGCAGUGGAAACUAAAGAGCUAGAGUACGGUAGGGGUAAAGGGAAUUCCCGGUGUAGCGGUGAAAUGCGUAGAGAUCGGGAAGAACAUCGGUGGCGAAAGC